GAUGAACGCUGGCGGCGUGCUUAACACAUGCAAGUCGAACGGAAAGGCCCUGCUUUUGUUGGGCGCUUGAGUGCCGAACGGGUGUGUAACACGCGAGUAACCUGUCCCUGACAUAGGGAUAACUUCAGGAAACUGGGGCUAAUACCGGAUAUUAUCUCUUGUUGCAUGGUGGGGGUUGGAAAGUUUCGGCGGUUGGGGAUGGACUCGCGGCUUAUCAGCUUGUUGGUGGGGUAGUGGCUUACCAAGGCUUUGACGGGUAGCCGGCCUGAGAGGGUGACCGGCCACAUUGGGACUGAGAUACGGCCCAGACUCCUACGGGACGCAGCAGUGGGGAAUAUUGCACAAUGGGCGGAAGCCUGAUGCAGCAACGCCGCGUGCGGGAUGACGGCCUUCGGGUUGUAAACCGCUUUCGCCUGUGACGAAGCGUGAGUGACGGUAAUGGGUAAAGAAGCACCGGCUAACUACGUG
RNAcentral lists this ribosomal RNA (468 nucleotides) under uncultured bacterium. RNAcentral's name for it is "partial 16S ribosomal RNA". It matches the Rfam family "Bacterial small subunit ribosomal RNA", at positions 28 to 507 of the family's 1533-position model. The record is from RNAcentral.